RNAcentral lists this ribosomal RNA (394 nucleotides) under uncultured bacterium. Its description in RNAcentral is "bacterial SSU rRNA". It matches the Rfam family "Bacterial small subunit ribosomal RNA", at positions 497 to 896 of the family's 1533-position model. The record is from RNAcentral.
CUAGUGUGCCAGCAGCCGCGGUAUUACGGAGGGGCUAGCGUUGUUCGGAAUUACUGGGCGUAAAGAGUGCGUAGGCGGUUUAGUAAGUUGGAAGUGAAAGCCCGGGGCUUAACCUCGGAAUUGCUUUCAAAACUACUAAUCUAGAGUGUAGCAGGGGAUGAUGGAAUUCCUAGUGUAGAGGUGAAAUUCUUAGAUAUUAGGAGGAACACCGGUGGCGAAGGCGGUCAUCUGGGCUACAACUGACGCUGAUGCACGAAAGCGUGGGAGCAAACAGGAUUAGAUACCCUGGUAGUCCACGCCGUAAACGAUGAGUGCUAGAUAUUGGGAGUAUUUUCUCUCGGUUUCGCAGCUAACGCAUUAAGCACUCCGCCUGGGGAGUACGGUCGCAAGAUUA